UACGUAGGGUGCAGGCGUUAAUCGGAAUUACUGGGCGUAAAGCGUGCGCAGGCGGUCUGCUAAGAGAGUUGUGAAAUCCCCGGGCUUAACCUGGGAACUGCGUUUCUAACUGGCAGGCUUGAGUGUGGCAGAGGGGGGUGGAAUUCCACGUGUAGCAGUGAAAUGCGUAGAGAUGUGGAGGAACACCGAUGGCGAAGGCAGCCCCCUGGGCUAACACUGACGCUCAUGCACGAAAGCGUGGGGAGCAAACAGG
RNAcentral lists this ribosomal RNA (253 nucleotides) under uncultured bacterium. RNAcentral's name for it is "partial 16S ribosomal RNA". It matches the Rfam family "Bacterial small subunit ribosomal RNA", at positions 524 to 776 of the family's 1533-position model. The record is from RNAcentral.